This 1281-nucleotide long non-coding RNA is filed under the name Parus major (Great Tit). RNAcentral's name for it is "lncRNA (ENSPMJG00000012376.1)". The record is from RNAcentral. Lineage: Eukaryota; Metazoa; Chordata; Aves; Passeriformes; Paridae.
AUGGGGGUGCAAGCUGGCACCUCUGCCCUGGGCUUGGCGCGGGGAUCGAUCCCCCCGAGGAAACUCAACUGUGUCGUGGAGAUAUUCCUGCCAGACGGAUCUGAGACGCAAGAGCUGCUGGAGAUCCCCCCCCUCUCCGGGAGAGAGAGGAGAGCCCCGGGUCAGAGGCACACCCGGCGGGGAUGGGCACACAGCGUGAUUCAGACCAGCGCUACGGCUGCGCCCCGCGAAGCCCCGCUGGCAGCUCCCGGUGCUUCGGACCCGGUCUCAGCUUGUCCACGCCGGGAGCCGCAGCCACAGGAGGCCGGAGGAGCCGCCGGGGCCGGGCCGGGCCGUGCCCCUGCCGGGAGCAGCACCGGGCCGGCGCGGUGCCAGGCGCCCGGCGUGGGGACGCGAUGUACCGGCCGGGAACAGCCUGACUCAGCGCCGGCCGCCGGGGGGGCACCCGGCCAGGGCCACCCGGGCCCGCUGAGCGCCAGGGCCCCCUCUGGGCUCCUGGCUGGUGGGGUCCGGUGCGGCCCCUCAGCACCACCUCCCACCUGGCAACCCGCCAGUAUCCCCCUCAGCAUCCCAAAUAUCCCCCCCGGCAUCCCCCCAGUGUUCCCCUCUGCACCUCCCAGGACCUUCCUGUCAUCUCUCUCCAAUCCCCCCAAUCUCCAAUAUCCCCCCCACUCCCUGCUCUCCCCAUGUCCCCCCCGACAUCCCUGCCAAUAUCGCCUCCUCAUUCCCCUGGCUUCAACCCCUGCAUGCCCCCCUGCAUCACCCCCAACACCCUUUCAGCAUCCCCAGAGUGAAUCCCCAUUAAUGUCGUGGAGAGUUCUCCCAAAAUCCUCCCCUCCUCACCCUCGGUCUGCUCCCCCAGCCCAGCUCGCCAGCAUUUCAGGGAAUUUAAUGCUAAAAUUACCCACUGAGGGGGAGCCCAGCUGCAGGGAGUACUUUCCGCCCAAACUGGCUGUUCCAAAUCACCCAGCCUCGAGCUCAGCCCGGACUGGUGCAGCCCAAGAUCACCUCUCCUUGCUCUCCCCACCUCCCUGUAUUGCACUACUUCCAGCAGCGCGAAUUAUUCGGCAUGAGGAUUUUUUCCACCUGAGCCCUGGUGGACAACACCAGGGGUGGCUUGUGGAGGUAUGUGGGGUGCCUGGAUGUCCUCCCAGAGCCACUUCUGCAUCCCCAUGUUCCACUUGCAACCUCCACUACUGCCCUGAGCUGGGCAGUCCUCAGCCCUCGGCAGCUCUGGGGGGACAUCUGCAGGAGACCCCAAAGCCCCAAAGCCAACUCUGA